Molecule: ribosomal RNA, 230 nt
Filed under: Cladosporium halotolerans
Lineage: Eukaryota; Fungi; Ascomycota; Dothideomycetes; Cladosporiales; Cladosporiaceae
Description: partial 28S ribosomal RNA
Rfam family: Eukaryotic large subunit ribosomal RNA
Source: RNAcentral
GUUGACCUCGGAUCAGGUAGGGAUACCCGCUGAACUUAAGCAUAUCAAUAAGCGGAGGAAAAGAAACCAACAGGGAUUGCUCUAGUAACGGCGAGUGAAGCAGCAAUAGCUCAAAUUUGAAAUCUGGCGUCUUCGGCGUCCGAGUUGUAAUUUGUAGAGGAUGCUUCUGGGCAGCCACCGACCUAAGUUCCUUGGAACAGGACGUCAUAGAGGGUGAGAAUCCCGUAUGC